AGUGCCGCAAAGUUUGCAGUGU
This 22-nucleotide microRNA is filed under the name Rattus norvegicus (Norway rat). RNAcentral describes it as "rno-miR-293-3p". Its record names the gene rno-miR-293-3p. Lineage: Eukaryota; Metazoa; Chordata; Mammalia; Rodentia; Muridae. The record is from miRBase by way of RNAcentral.